ACGAACGCUGGCGGCGUGCUUAACACAUGCAAGUCGAACGGGUCUGCCCUGUUUUUUGCGGGGUGGGUCAGUGGCGAACGGGUGAGUAACACGUGAGUAACCUGCCCCUCACUUCUGGAUAACCGCUUGAAAGGGUGGCUAAUACGGGGUGUUCUGGCUGUGCCGCAUGGUGUGGCUGGGAAAGAUACACUUUUGUGGUGUUUUGGUGGGGGAUGGGCUCGCGGCCUAUCAGCUUGUUGGUGGGGUGAUGGCCUGCCAAGGCUUUGACGGGUAGCCGGCCUGAGAGGGUGGGCGGUCACACUGGGACUGAGAUACGGCCCAGACUCCUGCGGGAGGCAGCAGUGGGGGGUAUUGCACAAUGGGCGGAAGCCUGAUGCAGCUACGUCGCGUGAGGGAUGGAGGCCUUCGGGUUGUGAACCUCUUUCGCCGGUGAAGAAGGUCCUGCUCUUUGUGGUGGGGUUGACGGUAGCCGGGUUAUGAAGCGCCGGCUAACUACGU
This 498-nucleotide ribosomal RNA is filed under the name uncultured bacterium. RNAcentral's name for it is "partial 16S ribosomal RNA". It matches the Rfam family "Bacterial small subunit ribosomal RNA", at positions 29 to 506 of the family's 1533-position model. The record is from RNAcentral.